Molecule: ribosomal RNA, 245 nt
Filed under: uncultured Bacteroidales bacterium
Lineage: Bacteria; Pseudomonadati; Bacteroidota; Bacteroidia; Bacteroidales
Description: partial 16S ribosomal RNA
Rfam family: Bacterial small subunit ribosomal RNA
Source: RNAcentral
UACGGAAGGUCCGAGCGUUAUCCGGAUUUAUUGGGUUUAAAGGGAGCGUAGGCGGACUGUUAAGUCAGUCGUUAAAUUGCGUGGCUCAACCACGUCCAGCGAUUGAAACUGUCAGUCUUGAGUGCACAAGAGGCAGGUGGAAUUCGAGGUGUAGCGGUGAAAUGCUUAGAUAUCUCGAAGAACUCCGAUUGCGAAGGCAGCUUGCUGGGGUGCAACUGACGCUGAUGCUCGAAGGUGCGGGUAUC